This 445-nucleotide ribosomal RNA is filed under the name uncultured Nitrosomonas sp. RNAcentral's name for it is "bacterial SSU rRNA". It matches the Rfam family "Bacterial small subunit ribosomal RNA", at positions 198 to 621 of the family's 1533-position model. The record is from RNAcentral. Lineage: Bacteria; Pseudomonadati; Pseudomonadota; Betaproteobacteria; Nitrosomonadales; Nitrosomonadaceae.
GGAGGAAAGCAGGGGAUCGCAAGACCUUGCGCUAAAGGAGCGGCCGAUGUCUGAUUAGUUAGUUGGUGGGGUAAAGGCCUACCAAGGCAACGAUCAGUAGCUGGUCUGAGAGGACGAUCAGCCACACUGGGACUGAGACACGGCCCAGACUCCUACGGGAGGCAGCAGUGGGGAAUUUUGGACAAUGGGCGAAAGCCUGAUCCAGCCAUGCCGCAUGAAUGAAGAAGGCCUUCGGGUUGUAAAGUUCUUUUAGUUGGAAAGAAAAAAUUAUGAUGAAUAAUCAUAAUUCAUGACGGUACCGACAGAAAAAGCACCGGCUAACUACGUGCCAGCAGCCGCGGUAAUACGUAGGGUGCAAGCGUUAAUCGGAAUUACUGGGCGUAAAGGGUGUGCAGGCGGCCUUGUAAGUGAGAUGUGAAAGCCCCGGGGCUUUAAAACCCCUUUU